CUUUGUUGUCUUGUCCUAUGUGACUCCUGAUCAUGCCUGGUAAAUUCUACACAGAGGGUUCACCCAACAUGGUGGCCAGCCCUUCCUCCAGAUCUUUUGAUAUUGUGCAGAUGCUAAUGAUGGAGCAUACGACCUAUCCUUUCAUUAUUGGUUGUUCUUUUUGGGUGACUGGACUACUUCCUUUUCUGGCCAAAUAUCUCUCAAAGAAAGAAAACAAACAUCACCACCACAACAAAAGAAUUACAGAAUUGAGAGUGAAAAGGGACCACUAAGGCUAUCUAGCUCAACCUAUACCCCAGGAAGGAACCCUCAUUAUAACAUGGACAGAGCAGAGGAGAAUUUAAUCUGUACCAGGAGGUUGGAGAAUACAAGAAUGGACCACAGAGGAGAAGGGGAGGAAGGGCCAUUGGAAACUUGGAGCUAAGAGAGAAGCAUGAGGAUUUCCCCAAAGAUGAAGGUGGUUGAUACCUGGAGGAGGAGAAGAAGAAGGAAGCAGCAGCCUGUCCUUCAGAUACUGAAGCUGUGAUCUCACCCCAGGAU
This is a non-coding RNA of Phascolarctos cinereus (koala), 540 nucleotides long. The record is from RefSeq and is a predicted model, not a curated record. NCBI's taxonomy places the organism in Eukaryota, Metazoa, Chordata, Mammalia, Diprotodontia, Phascolarctidae.